AGGCAGCAGUAGGGAAUAUUGGGCAAUGGGCGGAAGCCUGACCCAGCCAUGCCGCGUGAAGGAAGACGGCCUUAUGGGUUGUAAACUUCUUUACUAUGCGACUAACUAGAUUUACGAGAUAAUUCUAUAGAAUUAGCA
This 138-nucleotide ribosomal RNA is filed under the name uncultured bacterium. RNAcentral's name for it is "partial 16S ribosomal RNA". It matches the Rfam family "Bacterial small subunit ribosomal RNA", at positions 346 to 480 of the family's 1533-position model. The record is from RNAcentral.